CCGCCCGCCGAUCGACACCGGCGCCGUGCUCCGCAGCAGGUACGCCUGCGUCACGUUGAUGGCCGAGUACCGGAAUGAGCCCUGCGGGUUGGGACGCGCCGCGCCGGCGCUCAGGUUCCACCGGACGGAGCGCGCCUGGUUCAUGGAGAAGGUCCGGUCGUCCCGGUCCUGGGGAGGGUCCGGGAGCGGGCCGGAGGCGGGGCCGCCGGAGUUGGAGUAGCGGAGCACGGCGACGCCGGUGACGCGGCGCCACAGGGACUCGUUCACCUGCCGGGCGCUGGCCACGAUGUAGUAGUCGGAGCUGGCGUUCUGGUCCGUGGUGACGAGGAAGGAGUAGGACUGGCCGACGUGGACGUCCAGGUUGGUGUAGUUCUGCUGCGUCGUGUAGGAGCCCUCCGUCUCG
Molecule: long non-coding RNA, 403 nt
Filed under: Setaria italica (foxtail millet)
Lineage: Eukaryota; Viridiplantae; Streptophyta; Magnoliopsida; Poales; Poaceae
Description: long non-coding RNA (SITA_LNC006645)
Source: RNAcentral